ACGUGGGUGAUCUGCCUUGCACUUCGGGAUAAGCCUGGGAAACUGGGUCUAAUACCGGAUAGGACCAUGCUUUAGUGUGUGUGGUGGAAAGUUUUCGGUGCAAGAUGAGCCCGCGGCCUAUCAGCUUGUUGGUGGGGUAAUGGCCUACCAAGGCGACGACGGGUAGCCGGCCUGAGAGGGUGGACGGCCACAUUGGGACUGAGACACGGCCCAG
This 214-nucleotide ribosomal RNA is filed under the name uncultured Actinomycetales bacterium. Its description in RNAcentral is "partial 16S ribosomal RNA". It matches the Rfam family "Bacterial small subunit ribosomal RNA", at positions 115 to 334 of the family's 1533-position model. Lineage: Bacteria; Bacillati; Actinomycetota; Actinomycetes; Actinomycetales. The record is from RNAcentral.